This 463-nucleotide ribosomal RNA is filed under the name uncultured bacterium. RNAcentral describes it as "bacterial SSU rRNA". It matches the Rfam family "Bacterial small subunit ribosomal RNA", at positions 339 to 793 of the family's 1533-position model. The record is from RNAcentral.
UUACGGAAGGCAGCAGUGGGGAAUUUUGCGCAAUGGGGGAAACCCUGACGCAGCAACGCCGCGUGAGUGAUGAAGGCCUUCGGGUCGUAAAGCUCUGUCAGAGGGAAAGAAGUGUAUUAUGGCUAAUAUCCAUGAUACUUGACGGUACCCUCAAAGGAAGCACCGGCUAACUCCGUGCCAGCAGCCGCGGUAAUACGGAGGGUGCGAGCGUUGUUCGGAUUUAUUGGGCGUAAAGCGCGUGUAGGCGGCUUCUUAAGUCUGAUGUGAAAGCCCUGGGCUCAACCCGGGAAGUGCAUUGGAAACUGGGAAACUUGAAUACGGGAGAGGGUAGUGGAAUUCCUGGUGUAGGAGUGAAAUCCGUAGAUAUCAGGAGGAACACCGGUGGCGAAGGCGGCUGCCUGGACCGAUAUUGACGCUGAGACGCGAAAGCGUGGGGAGCAAACAGGAUUAGAUACCCGAGUAU